CUCAAAGGAAUUGACGGGGACCCGCACAAGCGGUGGAUGAUGUGGUUUAAUUCGACGCAACGCGAAAAACCUUACCUACCCUUGACAUGCCAGGAACUUGCCAGAGAUGGCUUGGUGCUCGAAAGAGAACCUGGACACAGGUGCUGCAUGGCCGUCGUCAGCUCGUGUCGUGAGAUGUUGGGUUAAGUCCCGCAACGAGCGCAACCCUUGUCAUUAGUUGCUACAUUUAGUUGGGCACUCUAAUGAGACUGCCGGUGACAAACCGGAGGAAGGUGGGGAUGACGUCAGGUCAUCAUGGCCCUUAUGGGUAGGGCUAC
This 317-nucleotide ribosomal RNA is filed under the name uncultured bacterium. Its description in RNAcentral is "bacterial SSU rRNA". It matches the Rfam family "Bacterial small subunit ribosomal RNA", at positions 900 to 1217 of the family's 1533-position model. The record is from RNAcentral.